RNAcentral lists this ribosomal RNA (500 nucleotides) under uncultured bacterium. Its description in RNAcentral is "partial 16S ribosomal RNA". It matches the Rfam family "Bacterial small subunit ribosomal RNA", at positions 30 to 523 of the family's 1533-position model. The record is from RNAcentral.
AUUGAACGCUGGCGGCAUGCCUUACACAUGCAAGUCGAACGGCAGCACGGGAGCAAUCCUGGUGGCGAGUGGCGAACGGGUGAGUAAAGUAUCGGAACGUGCCCAGUCGUGGGGGAUAACGUAGCGAAAGUUACGCUAAUACCGCAUACGAUCUAUGGAUGAAAGCGGGGGAUCGCAAGACCUCGCGCGAUUGGAGCGGCCGAUAUCAGGUUAGGUAGUUGGUGGGGUAAAGGCUCACCAAGCCGACGAUCUGUAGCUGGUCUGAGAGGACGACCAGCCACACUGGGACUGAGACACGGCCCAGACUCCUACGGGAGGCAGCAGUGGGGAAUUUUGGACAAUGGGCGCAAGCCUGAUCCAGCCAUGCCGCGUGCAGGAUAAAGGCCUUCGGGUUGUAAACUGCUUUUGUACGGAACGAAAAGGUUUGACUUAAUACGUUGGACUCAUGACGGUACCGUAAGAAUAAGCACCGGCUAACUACGUGCCAGCCGCCGCAGUAA